UGUCGACGAANUCAGAUUAGAGUUUGAUCCUGGCUCAGAACGAACGCUGGCGGCGUGGAUUAGGCAUGCAAGUCGAGCGUGAUCCUUCAAGCUUGCUUGAAGGUGAAAGCGGCGAACGGGUGAGGAAUACUUGGGUAACCUGCCGAAAAGUGCGGAAUAGCCUCGGGAAACUGGGGGUAAUGCCGCAUGUGAUCGUCCCGCAAAAGCGGGACUGUUUAAAGGGGGGGAUCUUCGGACCUCCCGCUUUUUGAUGGGCCCAAGCACUAUCAGCUUGUUGGUGAGGUAAUGGCUCACCAAGGCUAAGACGGUUAGCUGGUCUGAGAGGAUGGUCAGCCACACUGGGACUGAGACACUGCCCAGACUCCUACGGGAGGCUGCAGUCGAGAAUCUUUCGCAAUGCACGAAAGUGUGACGAAGCGACGCCGCGUGGAGGAUGACGGCCUUCGGGUUGUAAACUCCUGUCGGAGGGAAAGAACAGUUCACGAACGAAUACUUCGUGAAUUUGACGGUACCCUCAAAGGAAGCCACGGCUAACUCUGUGCCAGCAGCCGCGGUAAUACAGAGGUGGCGAGCGUUGUUCGGAUUUACUGGGCGUAAAGGGUGCGUAGGCGGUCUCGUGUGUCAGAUGUGAAAGCCCACGGCUCAACCGUGGAAUUGCAUUUGAAACUGCGGGGCUAGAGUAUCGGAGAGGUACAUGGAAUUCUUGGUGUAGCGGUGAAAUGCGUAGAUAUCAAGAAGAACACCAGCGGCGAAAGCGAUGUACUGGACGAAUACUGACGCUGAGGCACGAAAGCCAGGGGAGCAAAGAGGAUUAGAUACCCUCGUAGUCCUGGCCAUAAACGGUGUACACUUGGUGUGGGCGGAUUUAACCCCGUCCGUGCCGGAGCAAACGUGUUAAGUGUACCGCCUGGGGAGUACGGUCGCAAGACUAAAACUCAAAGGAAUUGACGGGGGCCCGCACAAGCGGUGGAGCAUGUGGCUUAAUUCGAUGCAACGCGAAGAACCUUACCUGGACUUGACAUGCCCGUCGUACCUGCCUGAAAGGGCGGGGUCAUUCAGUUGGACGGUGCACAGGUGCUGCAUGGCUGUCGUCAGCUCGUGCCGUGAGGUGUUGGGUUAAGUCCCGCAACGAGCGCAACCCUUGUUCUUAGUUGCCAUCAGGGAGCGAUCCGCUGGGAACUCUAAGAAGACUGCCGGUGACAAGCCGGAGGAAGGUGGGGAUGACGUCAAGUCUGUAUGGUCCUUAUGUCCAGGGCUGCACACGUGCUACAAUGGACGGUACAAUCGGUCGCGAAACCGCGAGGUGGAGCCAAUCCUCAAAACCGUCCCCAGUUCAGAUUGGAGUCUGCAACUCGACUCCAUGAAGCCGGAAUCGCUAGUAAAGGGACAUCAGCUACGGUCCCUUGAAUACGUUCCCGGGCCUUGUACACACCGCCCGUCACAUCAUGGGAGUUGUCUGCUCCCGAAGUAGCCGAUUCAACCCGCAAGGGAGAUAGGUUCCUAAGGAGUGGGCGAUGACUGGGAUGAAGUCGUAACAAGGUAACCA
RNAcentral lists this ribosomal RNA (1546 nucleotides) under uncultured Gammaproteobacteria bacterium. Its description in RNAcentral is "bacterial SSU rRNA". It matches the Rfam family "Bacterial small subunit ribosomal RNA". Lineage: Bacteria; Pseudomonadati; Pseudomonadota; Gammaproteobacteria. The record is from RNAcentral.